AUGCUGUUUGGGCUAUUUGUCGGAGUCAACAACCACUACCAGAGUAUUAUCUUUGCCGGGGUGUUGAUGCGUGACAAGCAGGAAGAGAUCUUUGAAUGGGUGUUCGAGGAAUUUGUACGUAUGAUGGGUGAACCCCCGCCAAAAACAAUACUUAUAGGUGAGAACCAGUGCAGGGCCAUGGAGGUUGCAAUCAAGAAGACAUAUCCUGACACGGUGCACCGUUGGUGCAAAUGGCACGUUCUGAAGAAAGCAAAGGAGACACUAGGGCCCUUGUACACGAAGAAGAGCGAUUUUCCACAAAGUUGUUAA
RNAcentral lists this ribosomal RNA (309 nucleotides) under Triticum aestivum (bread wheat). RNAcentral describes it as "partial small subunit ribosomal RNA". Lineage: Eukaryota; Viridiplantae; Streptophyta; Magnoliopsida; Poales; Poaceae. The record is from RNAcentral.